Ribosomal RNA from Tachyglossus aculeatus (Australian echidna), 119 nucleotides. NCBI's taxonomy places the organism in Eukaryota, Metazoa, Chordata, Mammalia, Monotremata, Tachyglossidae. The record is from RefSeq and is a predicted model, not a curated record.
GUCUACGACCGUACCACCCUGAACAUGCUCGAUCUCAUCUGAUCUCGGAAGUUAAGCAGAGUUGGGCCUGGUUAGUACUUGGAUGGGAGACCUCCUGGGAAUACUAGGUGCUGUAGGUU